UCGGGAAUUUUGGGCAAUGGGCGAAAGCCUGACCCAGCAACGCCGCGUGAAGGAUGAAGUAUUUCGGUAUGUAAACUUCGAAAGAAUAGGAAGAAUAAAUGACGGUACUAUUUAUAAGGUCCGGCUAACUACGUGCCAGCAGCCGCGGUAAUACGUAGGGACCAAGCGUUGUUCGGAUUUACUGGGCGUAAAGGGCGCGUAGGCGGCAAUUCAAGUCAUCUGUGAAAUCUCCGGGCUUAACUCGGAACGGUCAGAUGAUACUGCUUUGCUAGAGUGCAGAAGGGGCAAUCGGAAUUCUUGGUGUAGCGGUGAAAUGCGUAGAUAUCAAGAGGAACACCUGAGGUGAAGACGGGUUGCUGGGCUGACACUGACGCUGAGGCGCGAAAGCGUGGGGAGCAAACAGGAUUAGAUACCCCUGUAGUCCCUGAGCGGGCUGGCAAGGCGCGAU
RNAcentral lists this ribosomal RNA (448 nucleotides) under uncultured bacterium. RNAcentral's name for it is "bacterial SSU rRNA". It matches the Rfam family "Bacterial small subunit ribosomal RNA", at positions 355 to 826 of the family's 1533-position model. The record is from RNAcentral.